AGAGUUUGAUCCUGGCUCAGAACGAACGCUGGCGGCGUACUUAACACAUGCAAGUCGGACGAGAAAGGAGACUUCGGUCUCUGAGUACAGUGGCGCACGGGUGCGUAACACGUAAGCAAUCUACCCCGAACCCCGGGAUAACCCUCCGAAAGGAGGGCUAAUACUGGAUAGGGUCCCCGAGGUGUAGGCCGCGGGGGGAAAACGGGCCUCUGUUUCAUGCUUGUGGUUUGGGAUGAGCUUGCGGCCCAUUAGCUAGUUGGUAAGGUAAUGGCCUACCAAGGCAACGAUGGGUAGCUGGUCUGAGAGGAUGAUCAGCCACACUGGCACUGAGACACGGGCCAGACUCCUACGGGAGGCAGCAGUGGGGAAUUUUGCGCAAUGGGCGAAAGCCUGACGCAGUAACGCCGCGUGGAGGAUGAAGGCCUUCGGGUUGUAAACUCCUGUCAGGAGGAACGACGGGGGAAGGGCGAUAAACUCUUCCCUCCAGACGGUACCUCCAAAGGAAGCCCCGGCUAAUUCCGUGCCAGCAGCCGCGGUAAUACGGAAGGGGCAAGCGUUGUUCGGAAUCAUUGGGCGUAAAGGGCGUGUAGGUGGUUCUGUAUGUCUACCGUGAAAGCGUACGGCUCAACCGUAUUUUGUCGGUGGAAACUGCAGGACUUGAGGCUGGGAGGGGCUGGUGGAAUUCCCUGUGUAGCGGUGAAAUGCGUAGAGAUGGGGGAGAACACUCGUGGCGAAGGCGGCCAGCUAGACCAGUUCUGACACUGAGGCGCGACAGCGUGGGGAGCAAACAGGAUUAGAUACCCCCGUAGUCC
This 812-nucleotide ribosomal RNA is filed under the name uncultured bacterium. RNAcentral's name for it is "bacterial SSU rRNA". It matches the Rfam family "Bacterial small subunit ribosomal RNA", at positions 8 to 796 of the family's 1533-position model. The record is from RNAcentral.